Molecule: long non-coding RNA, 6337 nt
Organism: Columba livia (rock pigeon)
Lineage: Eukaryota; Metazoa; Chordata; Aves; Columbiformes; Columbidae
Exons: 2
Source: RefSeq, a predicted model, not a curated record
CACGUACCUGUGCGUCACGCGUCACAGGCCGGAGCCGCGACCUCGGCGCCGUGCAGAGCGGGCCCGGGCGCCGCCAGGGGAAAAACUCGCUGCGUCAUGCCUCGCCCCCUCGCCCCGCCCCUCCGAGCCGAUUGGGCGGUGCUGCUGAAGCGCGGCCGGCGAUUGGCCGAGAGAGGCGGCUGCAGUAACGUUCAAAGAAAGGGGCGGGGCUGGCGAACGAGGGCGAGAGGGGACGCGGAUUGGCUGGGAGGGGGCUGGAGAGCCGCGCGUGCGCAGCGGUUCACGGGAUCUCGGAGUCACAGAAUGUCAGGGACUGAGGGGACCUGGAGAGCUCAUCAGUGCAAUCCCCCCAUGGAGCAGGAACACCCAGGAUCUCGACGGCUAAGUACUGGUAACCUGUGAAACAGCAGAUGCAUUUAGUGAAUAGGUACGUGAUGAAAGGAUCAUUAUUUGAUGAGGAAGUGGGUUUGUGUACUCCGGCAGUGACAGCAGUGAUGGAUGUCACUCUGCGUGCUCCUUUUCCACCUCCAGCCUCUCUUUUCCCCUUGCUGCAGCACAGAUUCCCCUUUGGUCGCGGCUGCAGGGUACCACACCGCGGGACUGGGGUGACCCUGCCACACGGGUGGAUUUGGUGGGGCUGAGGACAGAGCAGCGUUCAGAAACCCUGCCCUCACAGCUCUGUGAGGUGCGGAGGGACCGACCUGCCCGCUGCAGGCACCUUUUCGUCUUGCAUGUUUUAACAGACAUCUUUUUAAACAAGACACGAGUCCGGUGUGUUAAAAGACAUGAAGAUUGCAGGACCAUCCCCUGAGUCGCCUCGCUGCCAUCCUUGCACCCCCCAGGCCCAUGGCGUGGUCCAAAAUUUGGGCCAUUUACCAAGCCAGAGGACUGAAAAAACUAAAGCAAGAGUUACCUUCCAAUGAUGUAAAUGGAUCUGGAAGCACAGGUGAAAUUUGGGGUAGUUACACUUUCAGCUUCCAUAUAUAUUCUUACAUUUUUUCUGGCUUCCCCAUCAUAUUUAGGCGCUGUGCUUUUCACUCUGCUGAAGUACAGAAGUACAUUUUUACCCUUCCAUGUGCUCAAAGUGGUAAGCACCAAUAUUUCUUCAUUUGCGAGAGCUUCUGGUUUUGCUCCCUCCUUGCCACCCGAUUUUUAUUGAUUAGGUCUUUUCCCUUACUCUCUUUUUCUUCUCUCAUGCACCUGUCAGACCCUUGUUUAUUUAUCUCAUUUCUGUUAACUUGCACUUACUCUGUACUCAUUUAGGAGAGCUUACUAAUGCAGGGUUUCUCUCACCCCUUCAGCUGCUUUAUUUACUGUCGCUAAUUGCAAUGGGUUUGUCCCACCAUAGGAUAUCCGUGCUUGCUCAGCCUGCAUCACAGCAGGAGCUUAGAACUCAUCCUUCCUGGGCAUGGGUGUUUUGUAAACUUGCAGAAAAAGCUGUGAUGUCCUUCCACUGGCUCUUUGGAUGGCCAAUAAUCCUUAUUACAUGAGGAUCUCUCAGGUGUUUGUUCUAUCUUGACUGGGAUGCUCGAAAUACAGGCAAAUAAGGAACUUUUGGGGAACGUUGUCUGUCCUCCGUGCUCUAGGACUUGGAGACGGUGCCGAGCAGCCUUUGAGCGCUCUGGAAUGCUGCUGUGCAAGCGGUAGCAGCUGAAGCAGGGAUGAGCUGAUCUGGAUGGCGAUAAGGCCGUCAGUGCAUUUCUCCUGCCCAGGUGAAGUCCAGAUGGCGCCUGGAGGGCUCCGGGCCAGAGGGAACGUCUCAUUGGGGCACCGCAUGGGAUCUGAACUCACCGUUUGUGUUAAUAUGUUUAGGGCUGAACAGCUUCUCACAUGAAGUGGCCUUUCUCUGAAAUUCUCUUUGCCUCUAACAAGCGUGACGCUUGGGUUGUGUUUUCCCAGCGCGGCAUCAGGGCUUAACCUCAGCGUUCCCUGGUCCUGCUCCAGCUGCUUCACUCCCCCAGGGUCUGCGAGUUGUGCUGGGAGCUGCAAAGGAGUUCAGGGAACUCGGACAAGUGACGUACACCGUGCGCUGAUGCACCGCUGGCUGUUCUCCAGCCCUGCUUUAUGUCUGAAUUGACCGGAUACUCCUUCAAAUCAAACACAGCCUUCGCAGCUGUUCAGAUGAUAAAUGCAAUUAAUUGUAUUAAUGAAUGCAGCACAUCAGAUAUGGCCUUUUUAGUGAAAAAGAGAAAAUGCCAGAAGGAAGAACUGCAAGGUUAUGUAUAUGCAGCCAUAUACUCAACAGAUGUUGAGGGAGGCUGAGGAAAGGGAACAUAUAUUUUAUUUUCUUGCUUAUAGCUGCUUUGUUGUGAUGGAAGAAAAACCAGGAUAGAGGAAAAACAAUGAUGAAUUUCAUGGAGGAAACAUAAGUAUUUUUAUGCUAAUACAAUACAUACAAACCCACAAACACGCUGUUACUCAGAUCCCAAAUGCAGAACAGCUCUGACUCGUGCAUUCAAUUCCUGUAACAGCAAUUACCAGUAUAAUUAAUUACCUGCUCUGUCCUUUGGCAGAUCAGGACCUUCCCCAGGAGUUUUUUGCCCAGUGCAGUGUUUGCGCUGGGCGUGCUUCCACACUGACAGCAUCGACCUUCCUGCCACGGAGCUUACAAAGUACAUUCAGUUCCAUCGUACACUCGUUCCUACUCCCUCUUGCAUUUUCACAAAGAUCAUAUUUUCCAAUAUUCAGUUAGAAACACUGGCAAAAUAGCGGUAGAAUCAAAUUGAGGAACAUACAGGUCCUGGGAUGCAGCUGGCAGGGACAAGGUGUUUGUGUUUUUUAAAGGAGUUUGAUGCAUGAGUACAGGUCACCUCCUCUUCCCAUUUACCUCACUGGGAACAGGUCUGACUGCACCAUCAUCGAACAAAUGGGGACGAAGGAAGUGACUUUCCAAACCACAUUUAAAUUAAGACCUGAAGUUAAGAGUAGAGAGCAGCCUCUGCAGAACAUUAGUUUUGCAUAAUAUACAUUAUGAGGACACAAGGGUAGUAUUAAAUUAUUCAGAAUGACGUUUUCCUCUGGAAAUUACCCCUAAUAAGCGUUCAAUAUGGGAGCAGAAGGGGUGAAAGUUCAUAGAAACUUUUGGACUGGAGGUCUCAGUAUGAACAGUUUGACAACCUGUUGUAUGACAGGAUGACAUGUGGCUUUAGUUCUAGUUGGAUUAAAGCUGGAAGAGUCCGACUUAGCCUAACUUCUAUCGAAAGAUGGCAAGGAGUGUUCUCAAAGCAAUGUGCUGUCUUGGAGCCGCUUCAGUCAGAUUCCUCUGCUGUGAGAACAAGAGCUCAGGGCUCGGAAAAUGAGGCUGGUUCUUUCUGUGGUACCCAAACACCCCCAGCAGGAUAAUAUUCCUUAGUAAAAUGAGAUGAACAGGCCUUGGAUGUGCAACAAUUGCAGUUCAGUUAAUAAACAGCAAACACUGUCUGCAGGGGCUAAAAGAUCUCAGACCUUUUAACAGAAAGAAAAAGAAGUAAAACAGGAAAAUGUUUUCAUCAGUCAAGUGAUCAAUGCCAGCAAAGGGUGAUUUUUUUUUUAAGUUAGUUCAAAACAUCUCUAGAUAUUGGAAAAUAUUGAGGGCUGAAGUCUACCAAUAAACAUUUUCUUACACUUCAACAGUUAAAAAUAUUCAGAGUAGGUAAAACCCAAACUUAAUCUGCUCCCUUCCAAGACCAAGCAGCACUUUAGAAUAAUCAUCGUUCACACACAUCUCUUGCUGGGCAAGGAAAUGCACAGAGAAGCACAGGCAUCAAUUAUGUUUUCCAUCCUGCUGGCUGAGUGGAAUCCAUUUCUGCAGCAUCUCACAUCCUCCGGACAGAAGAUCAUCCGUGCCACUGAAGAGGCUUUCGGCGAGCACUGGGAAGGUCACUGCCACCUCCCUUGGCAGCACCGCCUGGUCCAGGGAGAGAAUGGGAGCACCUGGAGCUGCUGCCGUGGUUUCACAUCUAUAGGUACUGCUUGCUGCCUGGCCGGGGGAAAAAAUGCGCACAAACUUGAGUUUAAUGACAUUUUAUUGAUUCUUUUCCAUGGCUGAGGCCUCUCACAAGCCACAUGAAGAGCUGGAGAUCACAGCUUUAGUUGCACUGUCACUUUAAUCUGGUACCUGUGGCUCUGCUGCUGAGUCACCCCUCCUUUCUCUACCUUCAUUUGCUUAGUCCUGACCCUCCCUUAGGCUGGAACAAGCAUUUUUUUAACUUUGUAGUAAACUGAUCUGUAUGAAAGAUGACUUGAUUUCUGUAGUUUUGUUUACUGCAUCAGCACUGGUACUUGUGUCAGUACAAGCCAAGUGACUUUUUGAUAGCACUGCUCUUUAUUCAUGCUCGUGGAGUUACGCUGCAAUUCUGCUUCUCAUAAAUUCAAAUUCAGAACUGAGUUGCAGCAAAGGCUAGAAAUUUUCUAAAUACAGUUUUGUACCACCGAGGAGGCUGAUUUCCAUUCUUCUACUAUACCUGUGUCCACAACACAUGAACAGCGCUUGUAAUAGUGUUAAAAUAGGAAGUCUGUACAUGGUUGUUUGAAAACUGCAAAUUUAUUCUGGCUUCCCGCAUACUAAUUUAUUCAGACAAGCCCAAAGCUGUCUGUGUGGAACAGGGCCAAUAGACCUUGUGCUAAAAAAGUAUAUAAGAAGGUACCUAUCGGUGGUUCAGCCCUUCUCUUCGAAAAUACCUUGAAUACAGGACUGGACAAGAUGCUCAUGCAGACAAGCGCUAAGCAGAGAUCUCACAAUGUGUUUUGGCAACUCGCACACAUCCCUCCUGAGGAGGCGGCAGUGGAGGUGCUGGAGCGAUACCUGGGCUUUCACAAAGAUGCAUCUAUUUUUAGUUUCUAUUGGGCCAUCUCCUCCACAAUGGGAGCGGUGCUGAUCUCAUCUCUGAUGGCAGCAAUCAGCACCAGACCCUGAGGUCGCUGCUGUUGGGCCAAACCAGCUAUUUCAAUGCGAUACUGUCCACAAAUGCAGGGAACAGAGUCGACAUUCAUAAUACCUCGUCAGAAAAGGUGCUGGAGAAGACUUGACAAUGUUUUUCAGAUAGUAAGAAAGAUAAAGUCUAAGAACAGUUUCACAGAAUCACAGAUUAGGGAUUGGAAGGGACCUGGAAAGCUCAUCCAGUGCAAUCCCCCCAUGGAGCAGGAACACCCAGGUGAGGUUACACAGGAAGGUGUCCAGGCGGGUUGGAAUGUCUGCAGAGAAGGAGACUCCACAACCUCCCUGGGCAGCCUCGUCCAGGCUCUGGCACCCUCACUGAGAAGAAGUUUCUUCUCAAAUUUAAGUGGAACCUCCUGUGUUCCAGUUUGCACCCAUUACCCCUUGUCCUAUCACUGGUUGUCACCGAGAAGAGCCUGGCUCCAUCCUCCUGACACUCACCCUUUACAUAUUUAUAAACAUUAAUGAGGUCACCCCUCAGUCUCCUCUUGUCCAGCUCCAGAGCCCCAGCUCCCUCAGCCUUUCCUCACACGGGAGAUGCUCCACUCCCUUCAUAAUUUCCAUUAUGUACUACAGGAAUAUUUUUCUACAUGGAAGAUGCCAGCAAGAAGAAAAUUUUCAUUUCAUUCAAAAUUUAAAUUCUUACAGGAAAUGGAAAAGUUCUGAAGAAAGGGUUUUUCAUUACUAUUAAACCCCUCACAUUUUAUAAGCAAACAGAAAACUGUUAACCCUUAACCUCAGUGUUUACAAAUGGAAAAUACUGGAUCAGUCUACCACGAUUCCAGUACAGUAUUGAGGCUGGAACCACAGUAAAGAGCACUGGCUGCAUAAUUCCAUUAGCAUGAGCCGCCCUUAAAGUCGAAAGAAAAUAAGAAUGCUUCUAUACCUGCUUUACACAAAUCAAAAUCCAUGUAUAUCUAUAUAGGAACAAGUAAUUGUUAAGAACUGCUAAAAACAAACGGAUGUAGUAGGGUUUAAUUUCUUCCAUCUCCAAGAAUCUACAAUUAUAAGAGUCUCAUCUUCAAACGUUACAGGACAUUUACAUGAACUUUCCUCGCUCCUCUGCUUCUGUACAAAUCAUAUACAAUAAAAAGUUUCCAUUUUGUUAUACGAACAUCAGUUUGCACCUUAUUACAGAUGAAAAGGUGUUCUCUGGCACCUGAUUUCCUCCGCGGUGCCUGUGUAUUGCAGCACAGAGCUCUAUGGAUCCGCACGUCUGGAAUCUUCAGCUCGGGUAACAUGGACUGAUCAACAGGCCACAGCUUCUGCAACUCCAAAGUUCUAAAUAAUGAGAAAAUUUACCACUUGUUUGUAUAACAAUCAACAGUUUAUUAAUGGAUAUGGUGAAAUUUUAGCUAUCCACCAAAGAUGUGUAAAAAAUUGUCAUGAAAGUAAAAAUAAAUAAAGCUGUUUUUAAAAUCA